CGAACGCUGGCGGCGUGCUUAACACAUGCAAGUCGAACGCGAAAGGGACUUCGGUCCUGAGUAAAGUGGCGCACGGGUGAGUAACGCGUAGAUAACCUGUCUUCAUGUCUGGAAUAAUACGCCGAAAGGGGUACUAAUACCGGAUAUUCUUGCUUUUCAUAAGUUAUGCAAGCAAAGGUGGCCCCUGCAUAUGCUACUGCAUGAAGAGGGGUCUGCGUACCAUUAGCUAGUAGGUGGGGUAAUGGCCUACCUAGGCGACGAUGGUUAGCGGGUCUGAGAGGAUGAUCCGCCACACUGGCACUGGAACACGGGCCAGACUCCUACGGGAGGCAGCAGUGAGGAAUAUUGCGCAAUGGGGGAAACCCUGACGCAGCGACGCCGCGUGAGUGAGGAAAAGGCCUUCGGGUCGUAAAGCUCUGUCAAGAGGAAAGAAGUGUACAAUGGCUAAUACCUGUUGUAUUUGACGGUACCUCUAAAGGAAGCACCGGCUAACUCCGUGCCAGCAGCUGC
This 510-nucleotide ribosomal RNA is filed under the name uncultured bacterium. RNAcentral describes it as "bacterial SSU rRNA". It matches the Rfam family "Bacterial small subunit ribosomal RNA", at positions 30 to 518 of the family's 1533-position model. The record is from RNAcentral.